RNAcentral lists this ribosomal RNA (448 nucleotides) under uncultured bacterium. Its description in RNAcentral is "partial 16S ribosomal RNA". It matches the Rfam family "Bacterial small subunit ribosomal RNA", at positions 29 to 523 of the family's 1533-position model. The record is from RNAcentral.
AACGAACGCUGGCGGCAGGCCUAACACAUGCAAGUCGAACGCCCUAGCAAUAGGGAGUGGCAGACGGGUGAGUAACACGUGGGAACGUGCCCUUCGGUUCGGAAUAACUCAGGGAAACUUGAGCUAAUACCGGAUACGUGCGAGAGCAGAAAGAUUUAUCGCCGAAGGAUCGGCCCGCGUCCGAUUAGCUAGUUGGUGAGGUAAUGGCUCACCAAGGCGACGAUCGGUAGCUGGUCUGAGAGGAUGACCAGCCACACUGGAACUGGGACACGGCCCAGACUCCUACGGGAGGCAGCAGUGGGGAAGAUUGGACAAUGGGCGCAAGCCUGAUCCAGCCAUGCCGCGUGAGUGAUGAAGGCCCUAGGGUUGUAAGCUCUUUCGCCAGGGACGAUAAUGACGGUACCUGGAUAAGAAGCCCCGGCUAACUUCGUGCCAGCCGCCGCAGUAA